This 301-nucleotide ribosomal RNA is filed under the name uncultured bacterium. RNAcentral describes it as "partial 16S ribosomal RNA". It matches the Rfam family "Bacterial small subunit ribosomal RNA", at positions 509 to 807 of the family's 1533-position model. The record is from RNAcentral.
CAGCCGCCACGGUAAUACGUAGGUGGCAAGCGUUGUCCGGAAUUAUUGGGCGUAAAGGGCUCGCAGGCGGUUUCUUAAGUCUGAUGUGAAAGCCCCCGGCUCAACCGGGGAGGGUCAUUGGAAACUGGGAAACUUGGGUGCAGAAGAGGAGAGUGGAAUUCCACGUGUAGCGGUGAAAUGCGUAGAGAUGUGGAGGAACACCAGUGGCGAAGGCGACUCUCUGGUCUGUAACUGACGCUGAGGAGCGAAAGCGUGGGGAGCGAACAGGAUUAGAUACCCCAGUAGUCCCUGUCUCUUAUAC